AAUAUUGGACAAUGGGGGCAACCCUGCUCCAGCCAUGCCGCGUGUGUGAAGAAGGUCUUCGCAUUGUAAAGCACUUUAAGUUGGGCGGACGGGCUUUAGGCUAAUACCCUGAAGUUUUGACGUUACCAACCGUAUAAGCACCGGCUAACUCUGUGCCAGCAGCCGCGGUAAUACAGAGGGUGCAAGCGUUAAUCGGAAUUACUGGGCUUAAAGCGGACGUAGGUGGUUCAGUAAGAUGGGUGUGAAAUCCCCGGGCUUAACCUGGGAACUGCUUUCAUAACUGCUGAGCUAGAGUACGGUAGAGGGAAGUGGAAAUUCCUGUGUAGCGGUGAAAUGCGUAGAUAUAGGAAGGAACACCAGUGGCGAAGGCGACUACCUGGACUGAUACUGACACUGAGGUGCGAAAGCGUGGGGAGCAAAC
Molecule: ribosomal RNA, 421 nt
Filed under: uncultured bacterium
Lineage: Bacteria
Description: partial 16S ribosomal RNA
Rfam family: Bacterial small subunit ribosomal RNA
Source: RNAcentral